GUUGUGGUUAAAAAGCUCGUAGUUGGAUCUCAACAGUCUUGAAGCGGUCAACUUUGUAGUUGUACUGCUUUGUAGACUGUGCUUUUGCUGGAGGUUAGGGGUGCUCUUAAUCGAGUGUCUCUGGAUGCCAGCAGGUUUACUUUGAAAAAAUUAGAGUGCUCAAAGCAGGCUAAAAUGCCUGAAUAUUCGUGCAUGGAAUAAUAGAAUAGGAUGUCGAUCCUAUUUUGUUGGUUUUCGGGACUUGACAUAAUGAUUAAUAGGGACAGUCGGGGGCAUUUGUAUUCAAACGACAGAGGUGAAAUUCUUGGACCGUUUGAAGACAAACUACUGCGAAAGCAUUUGCCAAGAAUGUUUUCAUUAAUCAAGAACGAAAGUUAGAGGUUCGAAGGCGAUUAGAUACCGCCCUAGUUCUAACCAUAAACGAUGCCAGCUAGCGAUCUGCCGCUGUUUUUACUGUAGACUCGGCAGGAAGCUUCCGGGAAACCAAAGCAUUUGGGUUCCAGGGGAAGUAUGGUUGCAAAGCUGAAACUUAAAGGAAUUGACGGAAGGGCACCACCAGGAGUGGAGCCUGUGGCUUAAUUUGACUCAACACGGGAAAUCUCACCAGGCCCGGACACUGGGAAGGAUUGACAGAU
RNAcentral lists this ribosomal RNA (635 nucleotides) under uncultured marine eukaryote. RNAcentral describes it as "SSU rRNA". It matches the Rfam family "Eukaryotic small subunit ribosomal RNA", at positions 612 to 1248 of the family's 1831-position model. The record is from RNAcentral.